This 497-nucleotide ribosomal RNA is filed under the name uncultured bacterium. RNAcentral's name for it is "partial 16S ribosomal RNA". It matches the Rfam family "Bacterial small subunit ribosomal RNA", at positions 28 to 507 of the family's 1533-position model. The record is from RNAcentral.
GACGAACGCUGGCGGCGUGCCUAAUACAUGCAAGUUGAGCGAUGAAGAUUGGUGCUUGCACCAAUUUGAAGAGCAGCGAACGGGUGAGUAACGCGUGGGGAAUCUGCCUUUGAGCGGGGGACAACAUUUGGAAACGAAUGCUAAUACCGCAUAACAACUUUAAACAUAAGUUUUAAGUUUGAAAGAUGCAAUUGCAUCACUCAAAGAUGAUCCCGCGUUGUAUUAGCUAGUUGGUGAGGUAAAGGCUCACCAAGGCGAUGAUACGUAGCCGACCUGAGAGGGGGAUCGGCCAAAUUGGGAAUGAGAAACGGCCCAAACUCCUACGGGAGGCAGCAGUAGGGAAUCUUCGGCAAUGGACGAAAGUCUGACCGAGCAACGCCGCGGGAGUGAAGAAGGUUUUCGGAUCGUAAAACUCUGUUGGUAGAGAAGAACGUUGGCGAGAGUGGAAAGCUCAUCAAGUGACGGUAACUACACAGAAAGGGACGGCUAACUACGUG